UCGCAAAGAACUAAAACUACUUUCAUAAGUAUAGAGAUUAGAAACAUAUUAAAUUUUGAAAAAGGGAUGAUAUAGUUUACCUUUUCUUUUAGCCGUGUCAUCCCUUUCACUGGUGGUUAUCACUUUAUUUCUUUUUUAGCAAGUCGUGACUCAUGCGAGGCAAAACCAUUCUUGGAAUACAUGAAGAAUCUUAGCUCCAACCAUUCCAAUACAAAAUGCAAAUACAAUUGUACCCUGUCUCUGGUCCCUUUCCU
RNAcentral lists this long non-coding RNA (254 nucleotides) under Phaseolus vulgaris (common bean). RNAcentral's name for it is "long non-coding RNA (PVUL_LNC004158)". The record is from RNAcentral. Lineage: Eukaryota; Viridiplantae; Streptophyta; Magnoliopsida; Fabales; Fabaceae.